GAAUCUUCCACAAUGGGCGCAAGCCUGAUGGAGCAACACCGCGUGAGUGAAGAAGGGUUUCGGCUCGUAAAGCUCUGUUGUUGAAGAAGAAUGUGCAAGAGAGUAACUGUUCUUGUAUUGACGGUAUUCAACCAGAAAGUCACGGCUAACUACGUGCCAGCAGCCGCGGGAAUACGUAGGUGGCAAGCGUUAUCCGGAUUUAUUGGGCGUAAAGCGAGCGCAGGCGGUUUUCUAAGUCUGAUGUGAAAGCCUUCGGCUUAACCGAAGAAGUGCAUCGGAAACUGGAUGACUUGAGUGCAGAAGAGGGCAGUGUAACUCCAUGUGUAGCGGUGGAAUGCGUAGAUAUAUGGAAGAACACCAGUGACGAAGGCGGCUGCCUGGUCUGUAACUGACGCUGAGGCUCGAAAGCAUGGGUAGCGAAC
RNAcentral lists this ribosomal RNA (422 nucleotides) under uncultured bacterium. RNAcentral describes it as "partial 16S ribosomal RNA". It matches the Rfam family "Bacterial small subunit ribosomal RNA", at positions 359 to 773 of the family's 1533-position model. The record is from RNAcentral.